RNAcentral lists this small nuclear RNA (102 nucleotides) under Neogale vison (American mink). Lineage: Eukaryota; Metazoa; Chordata; Mammalia; Carnivora; Mustelidae. The record is from RNAcentral.
GUGCUCGCUUCGGCAGCACAUAUACUAAAAUUGGAACGAUACAGAGAAGAUUAGCAUGGCCCCUGCGCAAGGAUGAAGCUGUGGCCAAAGUAUCUCUUUCGU